CCUACGGGAGGCAGCAGUAGGGAAUAUUGGGCAAUGGAGGCAACUCUGACCCAGCCAUGCCGCGUGCAGGAUGAAGGCGUUAUGCGUUGUAAACUGCUUUUAUAUAGGAAGAAAUAGACCUUGCGAGGUAAGUUGACGGUACUAUAUGAAUAAGCACCGGCUAACUCCGUGCCAGCAGCCGCGGUAAUACGGAGGGUGCAAGCGUUGUCCGGAUUUAUUGGGUUUAAAGGGUGCGUAGGCGGUUUAUUAAGUCAGUGGUGAAAGACGGUCGCUCAACGAUUGCAGUGCCAUUGAUACUGGUAGACUUGAGUAUGAUUGAGGUAGCUGGAAUGGAUAGUGUAGCGGUGAAAUGCAUAGAUAUUAUCCAGAACACCAAUUGCGUAGGCAAGUUACUAAGUCAUAACUGACGCUGAUGCACGAAAGUGUGGGUAUCAAACAGGAUUAGAUACCCUGGUAGUCCACACUGUAAACGAUGAUAACUAACUGUUGGCUUUCGGGUCAGUGGUACAGAGAAAUCGUUAAGUUAUCCACCUGGGGAGUACGCCGGCAACGGUGAAACUUAAAUGAAUUGAGCGNGAGAGNGCGAGGCGACGACGAGGGAGGAGG
Molecule: ribosomal RNA, 606 nt
Filed under: uncultured bacterium
Lineage: Bacteria
Description: bacterial SSU rRNA
Rfam family: Bacterial small subunit ribosomal RNA
Source: RNAcentral